This 253-nucleotide ribosomal RNA is filed under the name uncultured bacterium. RNAcentral describes it as "partial 16S ribosomal RNA". It matches the Rfam family "Bacterial small subunit ribosomal RNA", at positions 524 to 776 of the family's 1533-position model. The record is from RNAcentral.
UACGUAGGGGGCAAGCGUUGUCCGGAAUCAUUGGGCGUAAAGCGCGUGUAGGCGGCCAGAAAAGUCCGCUGUGAAAGUCGGGGGCUCAACCCUCGGAUGCCGGUGGAUACUGUCGGGCUUGAGUACGGAAGAGGCGAGUGGAAUUCCUGGUGUAGCGGUGAAAUGCGCAGAUAUCAGGAGGAACACCAAUUGCGAAGGCAGCUCGCUGGGACGUUACUGACGCUGAGACGCGAAAGCGUGGGGAGCAAACAGG